RNAcentral lists this ribosomal RNA (377 nucleotides) under uncultured eukaryote. RNAcentral's name for it is "partial 18S ribosomal RNA". It matches the Rfam family "Eukaryotic small subunit ribosomal RNA", at positions 592 to 975 of the family's 1831-position model. The record is from RNAcentral.
CAAUAGCGUAUAUUAAAGUUGUUGCAGUUAAAAAGCUCGUAGUUGGAUUUGUGGUUCGUCCCGCCGGCUGGGUCAUUGACUUUUGCUGUGCUGGUCGUCCAUCCUUGGGUGGAAUCUGUGUGGCAUUAGGUUGUCGCGCAGGGGAUGCCCAUCGUUUACUGUGAAAAAAUUAGAGUGUUCAAAGCAGGCUUAUGCCGUUGAAUAUAUUAGCAUGGAAUAAUGAUAUAGGACCUUGGUACUAUUUCGUUGGUUUGCGCACUGAGGUAAUGAUUAAUAGGGACAGUUGGGGGUAUUCGUAUUCCAUUGUAAGAGGUGAAAUUCUUGGAUUUUUGGAAGACGAACUACUGCGAAAGCAUUUACCAAGGAUGUUUUCAUUA